Herpailurus yagouaroundi (jaguarundi) is the source of this 1199-nucleotide long non-coding RNA. RefSeq lists it as uncharacterized. The record is from RefSeq and is a predicted model, not a curated record. The transcript is spliced from 2 exons. NCBI's taxonomy places the organism in Eukaryota, Metazoa, Chordata, Mammalia, Carnivora, Felidae.
UAAGCAUAUUCUUAUUUUUUAAAAUAUGCAUGUUUUAUCUUUUCUAUAGAAAUGUUAAGUCUAAUGUCUAAGAAUAGUAAAUAUUAAAAUUCAGUGUUGUAGUUGAAUAUCUUGUAUACUGACAUUUAAUCUUCAGUAACUAAAUGCAUUUUGAAGAUAUUUUAAGUUCAAUUUUAAGUAACUGGCAUUCAGAACAUGUUAAGUUUUAGCAGCUGAUAUAUUUCAGUUAAAAUAUUUGUUCUCAUAAGAUGAAAUACAAUGACCUGCGAAUCAGUAGUAAGGGUUCUUUAUAUUUUUAUUUUAAUAAAAAAGAAAACCUUUAUAUUGCUCCUGGAUAUUAAAGGUGAUUACAGCAAAUGUUACUUUAUAAGCACAAUUAAAGGCAUUUAUGCAGCUUUUGCAUAAUGAUAAUAAUUAAAAACCAUUUAUUUUAAAGGCUGCUUAAAAGUUAAUUUUCACCCAGGUGCAUAUUGAAGCCUAUAAUUAGCCUUUCUUCAGAGGAGUUUUGGUUGAGGAAACACAUAAAGGCAUUUCCAAAGGCAGAAGUUCACUGCUAAAAUGGGAUUUUGGUUUUUAACUUUAGUUUGAUAAUGGUGCUUAAAAUAUGUGAGAACAAAUGCUCCGAAAUACUUUAAAAAAUGAAUCUAUAAUCAUCCCAGAUUGAUUUCAUUGAGAAGACAUAUAGAAGACCUAUUUUCAUAUAAUUUGUUUGGUAAAUGAAGUCCCAUAAGACUGCUACCUGGAAACUUUUAUUAUUUACAACAAAUAUAAGAAAUUUUCAAAACAAUUACAAAGCAUAAUUUCCUAUGUAUCUCGUCAUUCUAGUGGGCUGGAAAUCAAUGCUAUUUCUAUAAUAAAUUCUCACUUAACAAUUCAUUCUUCCUCUACUAGUGAUGUCCUACUUACUAUCCAUUCACCAGAUGGUGCAUUUUCCGAAAGCUCUCUCAUAUUUCCAGACAGAAUCUCCAAGUAGAGCAGACCAUCUCAGUUUGGAAGCACUUACAUAUUUAUUUCACAUCAGAAGAUUGAUACCUCUGAUAUACCUCUACUGGAGUCUUUAUUUUUCUGUCUUGUUCUAUAACACUGAAGAGUAGAUCAUCCACCAAUUAUAAAAUUUAGCAAGUCCUGUUCUUAGGUCAAUCCAAUAAGCCUGAAGAAUAAAGAUCGGUUCUCUGCUUCAUUAGCAUGAGACAUCAUAA